UUUCCUAUGGUGCAAUGGUAGCACGCCUGAUUUUGGUUCAGAAGAUCGUGGUUCGAAUCCACGUAGGAAAA
Molecule: transfer RNA, 71 nt
Filed under: Mucilaginibacter aquariorum
Lineage: Bacteria; Pseudomonadati; Bacteroidota; Sphingobacteriia; Sphingobacteriales; Sphingobacteriaceae
Description: tRNA-Gln
Rfam family: tRNA
About the family: Transfer RNA (tRNA) molecules are approximately 80 nucleotides in length. Their secondary structure includes four short double-helical elements and three loops (D, anti-codon, and T loops).
Source: RNAcentral